GAAACAAAUCAAGCGCCAAAUUUUGCAAUUCCAACUGUGACCCGAAUUGUUCCUCUCUUGCGAAAAUUCGCCAUAGCUGUUGGGAAGGAACAGCAGGAGCAUCAGCAGCAGCUUUUCGGAAGACGGCGAGCGAUUCGACGGCAACAACAAACAAGCCGGAAAAUAUUGGAAGCCAUUGCACUGCGACUGAAAACAAAGACUACCGAAGCACCGAAACGGAAUCAGAACCAACGGAGACGAAGUGGCACUUCAGAGUACGCCGUCAUAGGGUGUGAGCAAGAGGCGUAUCGCCUUCUCGUCAACCACACAAACGACGGUGGAAGUUUUGCUUUGCAACACACAGGCGGCCCCUACUGGGGUCGUUUUUGGGAGCUGAGAAAAUCGCUUUUCGGGACUCGAUUUUCGCCAUCUUGGUUUUGCGAGUCCCGUUUUUGCGAAAGUAAGCUGCGGACGUGAGGAGAGCCAGCCGGAAGUCUUCGGAAGUGUUCCGGGCAGCUGUGGUACGUCCGUCGAAGCAGUGCAGCCAGGCAGGGUUGCCAGUAAACCAGAUACGACUGUGAUUACGAAAGAAGCUGUGAUACACCUGUGCCGUCCAAGCAGCUGUGAUAUGAUUGUUGUGCGUUUGAUGUUAGAGUAGGAAAACGGGCCCGUGAGUAAUAAUGUAA
Long non-coding RNA from Uranotaenia lowii, 665 nucleotides. RefSeq lists it as uncharacterized. Lineage: Eukaryota; Metazoa; Arthropoda; Insecta; Diptera; Culicidae. The record is from RefSeq and is a predicted model, not a curated record. The transcript has 5 exons.